CAAAUGAACUUAUUUAAGAAAAAAUAACAGUUUCACAGUCAUAGAAAACAAACUGAAGGUGAGCAAAGGGAAAUGGGGUUGGGGAGGGGUAAAUUAGGAGUGCGAGAUCAGAAGAUACAAACUACUAUAUAUAAAAUAAUCAACAAGGCCCUACUGUACAGAAGAGGGGACUAUAUUCAAUAUCCUGUAAUAAACCAUAAUGGAAAAUAAUAGGAAAAAGAAAUAUAUAUAUAUAAAAAACUGACUCACUUUGCUAUAUAUAUAUAUACCAGAAAUUAGCACAGCAUUGCAAACUAACUAUACUUCAAUUAAAAUUUGCUAGAUAUAAAAAUAGGAACGAUUGUCAAUGAGGGUUCCAACCCAUCAGCUCUUCACUUAGUAACAUUUUACUUCUAGCACAACUAGUUUAAUUUGUAAUUUCAAAUUCUUUCUGCUUUCUGUCCUCUGCUUACUCUGAAAACACAGAUAUUUAACCAACCCAUGAGAGAAAGAGAGGGUAUAGCAGUAAAACGUUCUCAAAAUACACACACACACACACACACACACACACACACACCCCAACUGUAAAGUCCAGGAGAGAAGGCAACUUCAAAAUAAAUACCUGUGUCUUUUGUUACAAGUCUAAUCUUCAACUGUCCGUGGUAAACUCAGGGUUAGAAUACCUAGGUUUAUACCCAGCUUUAAACAAAAUCACUCUGAUAAAACCACUAAAGAUCAAAUUUCCAUAAGAAUAAGCUCAAUUUAAAAUGUUCAUAGAGAAGAGGUCAUUAGUUCCCCUGUUACAGAAGGUCCUAAAGAGUUAAAUCACAGAAUAUGAAAACCUGUGCUUAAAAGGUUUUUAGGCAAUGACACCAGCUGAGGAGGGAAAUAAAAUUAGUAAGUGGCGGGAAUGAGGAGCUGUCAACACCAGUCCCUAACUCAGGCUCCUUGGCUUGAUCCUGUAUUUCAUUUAACACAGACUUCUACAUGCGGAUGAUUGGCCUCUUCCUGUGAGGCUGUUCUGAAAUGUGAGUCAGGAUAUAAAUGGACUGUAUCAUCUUGUGUGGGGCUGCCUCAGGCCAAAUAAUUCCCAGGAAGCAGGAAUAUUUCAGCUCCCCACCCACCACGGAUCCCCACGUCUGUGCGACAUCCAGGAAGUGCCUUGACCUACCUCCUGCAGCUCUAUGAAUGAUUGGGCUUCUCUGAGUACCAGACGAAGUCGUCCCCUUUCAUUCUUCAAAUAACACCCUUGCAGAACCGGACAGACCUCAUCUUUCUGACCCGGGUGUGUCCUGAUCAGAGACAGGAGCCAGGUACUCGCCCUCUUUGCCCCUCCACGUCUACAAACAAUUGAGAGACAACCACAGCGCUGAUUGACCUGACUGGCUUUUAGACUGAAACUUCAGUCAUGCAAACAUAGAAGAAAGCUUAGCCAAGAGGAAAUUCUGUGAGAGCAAGAGUAGAUAGUCAUGGCCAAAAUUGGGGCGCCCUCUCACCCCCUGUACGCGGCUUCUCAUUCUCUC
Bos taurus (domestic cattle) is the source of this 1502-nucleotide long non-coding RNA. Lineage: Eukaryota; Metazoa; Chordata; Mammalia; Artiodactyla; Bovidae. The record is from Ensembl.